AGCGUUGUCCGGAUUAUUGGGCGUAAAGCGCGCGCAGGCGGAUUGGUCAGUCUGUCUUAAAAGUUCGGGGCUUAACCCCGUGAUGGGAUGGAAACUGCCAAUCUAGAGUAUCGGAGAGGAAAGUGGAAUUCCUAGUGUAGCGGUGAAAUGCGUAGAUAUUAGGAAGAACACCAGUGGCGAAGGCGACUUUCUGGACGAAAACUGACGCUGAGGCGCGAAAGCCAGGGGAGCGAACGGGAUUAGAUACCUCGGUAGUCCUGGCCGUAAACGAUGGGUACUAGGUGUAGGAGGUAUCGACCCCUUCUGUGCCGGAGUUAACGCAAUAAGUACCCCGCCUGGGGAGUACGACCGCAAGGUUGAAACUCAAAGGAAUUGACGGGGGCCCGCACAAGCGGUGGAGUAUGUGGUUUAAUUCGACGCAACGCGAAGAACCUUACCAGGUCUUGACAUUGAUGGACAGAACCAGAGAUGGUUCCUCUUCUUCGGAAGCCAGAAAACAGGUGGUGCACGGUUGUCGUCAGCUCGUGUCGUG
Molecule: ribosomal RNA, 532 nt
Filed under: uncultured bacterium
Lineage: Bacteria
Description: bacterial SSU rRNA
Rfam family: Bacterial small subunit ribosomal RNA
Source: RNAcentral